Molecule: long non-coding RNA, 627 nt
Organism: Bombyx mori (domestic silkworm)
Lineage: Eukaryota; Metazoa; Arthropoda; Insecta; Lepidoptera; Bombycidae
Exons: 2
Source: RefSeq, a predicted model, not a curated record
GAUUAAUAGCAAGAUUGAUUUUGACUUUUCAAUUUAGGUUUUGCGAAGAAGUGAAAUGGAAAUUAAGGACAAAUUAUCUCAUAUUUUGAGGCGCUUGUGUCGCGUCCCGGGGUUGGAAUGAAUGUGAUCACGAUGGAGAGCCGGCCGCCGGACACCGCGACGGACGCGCGAUAACAACGAUCGACGAUUAUCGACGGAUCUGCGCACGCACAUGUUCACCGCUCGCCUUAAUGAGACAAUCAAUGGUUUUGACACUGCAUGCACCAUAAUGCUAUUUGACGAAAUUUUGUACGUUUCUGUCAACAGCGCGGCCGGUUACAAUGUAAUUUUAAACACUGCAACCAAGUAACCGAGUUUGUUUUGUUAACGGUUUGCAGUAAAGCUGAUAAAAACGUAGAAAAUAUCAAUUAACAAUGCAGUUUAUUCAGUGUUAUUGAGACGGGGAUCAUUCGUUUCAUUUUGUUAUCGGUUGUUUGCCCCGAACUACAGUUCUUUUACCUAGGGUUAUUAAUGCGACUUUGUAAGUGAGAAUGUAUUCUGUAACUGGAGAAAAAAAUGUAGGACUGAAUGGUUUCACAAAAAUAGUUGUAUAGUGAAAUUCUAAUACAAUAAUCUAGAAAAACCAGA